RNAcentral lists this transfer RNA (69 nucleotides) under Scythropia crataegella. Its description in RNAcentral is "tRNA-Gln". It matches the Rfam family "tRNA". Rfam says of the family: Transfer RNA (tRNA) molecules are approximately 80 nucleotides in length. Their secondary structure includes four short double-helical elements and three loops (D, anti-codon, and T loops). Further hydrogen bonds mediate the characteristic L-shaped molecular structure. tRNAs have two regions of fundamental functional importance: the anti-codon, which is responsible for specific mRNA codon recognition, and the 3' end, to which the tRNAs corresponding amino acid is attached (by aminoacyl-tRNA synthetases). tRNAs cope with the degeneracy of the genetic code in two manners: having more than one tRNA (with a specific anti-codon) for a particular amino acid; and 'wobble' base-pairing, i.e. permitting non-standard base-pairing at the 3rd anti-codon position. Lineage: Eukaryota; Metazoa; Arthropoda; Insecta; Lepidoptera; Scythropiidae. The record is from RNAcentral.
UAUAUUUUAGUGUAAGAUGCACAUUAGAUUUUGAUUCUUUUAGUUAUAGUUUGAUUCUAUAAAAUAUAA